UGCUAAAUUCACAGUAUGCGCUAUUUUUCACAUUUGACAGACACAACCCUUGUUGCGCACUGUUAGUAACUCAGCAUGCAGGUGCACUGUCAGGGUAAUG
Molecule: long non-coding RNA, 100 nt
Organism: Thalassophryne amazonica
Lineage: Eukaryota; Metazoa; Chordata; Actinopteri; Batrachoidiformes; Batrachoididae
Exons: 3
Source: RefSeq, a predicted model, not a curated record